This 433-nucleotide ribosomal RNA is filed under the name uncultured bacterium. Its description in RNAcentral is "partial 16S ribosomal RNA". It matches the Rfam family "Bacterial small subunit ribosomal RNA", at positions 29 to 507 of the family's 1533-position model. The record is from RNAcentral.
AACGAACGCUGGCGGCAUGCCUAACACAUGCAAGUCGAACGAGACCUUCGGGUCUAGUGGCGCACGGGUGCGUAACGCGUGGGAACCUGCCCUUAGGUUCGGAAUAACUCCCCGAAAGGGGUGCUAAUACCGGAUAAUGUCUUCGGACCAAAGAUUUAUCGCCUUUGGAUGGGCCCGCGUUGGAUUAGCUAGUUGGUAGGGUAAAAGCCUACCAAGGCGACGAUCCAUAGCUGGUCUGAGAGGAUGAUCAGCCACACUGGGACUGAGACACGGCCCAGACUCCUACGGGAGGCAGCAGUGGGGAAUAUUGGGCAAUGGGCGAAAGCCUGAUCCAGCAAUGCCGCGUAAGUGAUGAAGGCCUUAGGGUUGUAAAGCUCUUUUACCCGGGAUGAUAAUGACAGUACCGGGAGAAUAAGCUCCGGCUAACUCCGUG